RNAcentral lists this long non-coding RNA (818 nucleotides) under Equus asinus (donkey). RNAcentral's name for it is "lncRNA (ENSEASG00005033510.1, ENSEASG00020040912.1)". Lineage: Eukaryota; Metazoa; Chordata; Mammalia; Perissodactyla; Equidae. The record is from RNAcentral.
CCUGACUUCCACGGGGCAACGGCACGGGUUUCAGUUUGCAGCUCUGAAAAAUAAGGACAUUUCCUUAUGUGUCCAUAACACCAGGCUGGUUUCAUUACUGAUGAAAACAACAAUGAAAUCUGUCCUGGAAGAGCAGCCCCAACGGACGGAGACACGCAGUCAGAAUCUGCCCUGGGGCUGUGUGGAGACGCUGAGGGCAAGAAAUCCUCUCCUCUCGGUUGAUAGGUCAGGAGGAUCUGCUCCUGCACCCAGCCCUCCGUCUGCACAGUGGAGCCACGCAGAGCGAGGGACAGAGACAGGGCCCGGGACACGCGGGCCCUCCCCUCCGGACUCCCAGGGGCGGAAGUCAAGGUCAUCUCACAACCUGAAGGGCCUUGACUCAUCCCCCGACUUGGGUUCCCUCUGGGGCCCGCCCCCCUCAUGCCAUUUCCUGCCCUGGGCACCUGGAGGAGUCCGGCUCACCUGUGCAAGGCCAGCCCAAUCUCCGCUGGCGCUUCUCCACACUCCCAUCUCCGCCCAGCUCGCUCCCUGACCGAGCCCCGCGAGGCCUUUCUCUUUGCUCCCUGUUCCCACAGCUCCUGGUGCUCACCAGCACUGUGUGUUCCAGCAGCCUGGGUGUGCCCCGCGGGGAAGGCAGUACCGUACAGGACUUAGGACCACAGGCUCUGCGGGGGGAACGAUGUGGGUUCAAAUCCCCACUCUGAGACCCAGGCCAGCCACUUCCUCUUCUCUCUGCUCCUCGAUUUUUCUCAUCCACGGAAGGGCUGGUGAGAAGCCACCUGCGCAGACACCUGGUUGUGUGGCUUACGGUCAUCCCC